UGAUUUGUUGGUCGGAUCGUAUACUUGUGGAGAUAUGCCGAAUCUGAGUGAUUUUGCCCAGAUUGAUUGCCUCCCACAUUGUUGAAAGGUUUUCUCGGUGGUGUUUGAUUAUAGUGAUAUAAAAUGGCUACCCCAUUGGUCAACAAUAAACAAGCACAGAAAAUCGAAUAUUAUGUAAUUCAUUUAUUUAAGUAGGACGGUGGCUUUUUAUUUGUUGAAGGAAUGAAUAUGUCAAUACCAAACAGAUAAUACAAAAAGCUCAAUACGAAGUCAGGAAGGGCUCAGCAAUUUUUAUUUUAUUUUAAAUUUAAAAAAAAGUUCAAGUACAAAAUGUAAUAAAAAAUAGCCUAAAAAGUAAAAAAAAACCCUAAAAUCAAAUCCUACAAACAACAAGUCACGACAUCGCCGAAUCUGUCGCGGAAAGAUGGCUUUGCUUAAGAUGGAUGAGAUAACAAGAUAAGCAUGGGUAUUUCUUUAACAUAAAAUAGUAGAACAGAAAAAUAUGAGAUAUAAACCAAAUGUAUAAUCUAUAAACCAAAGAUGGAGAGAUACGAAUUCAAUUUCUCAUCAUUAUGCUGAAUAUGUCUCCAAUUUGGAACAAACACAGCCUUGGCGCACCUGGUGAAUUCAAAACGAACUUUUUUUUUCCCUCUUUGAACAGGGCAGGACUUGAGUGCUCUGCUCAGAACUUUGUGGUUGCAUGUUACUUAUAAGCAAAUAAAGGAAGUAGAGUACGUGCAUAAUAAUUCAGCACCACACACUGCGAUG
This 768-nucleotide long non-coding RNA is filed under the name Prunus dulcis (almond). RNAcentral describes it as "sRNA ncRNA". The record is from RNAcentral. Lineage: Eukaryota; Viridiplantae; Streptophyta; Magnoliopsida; Rosales; Rosaceae.